Molecule: ribosomal RNA, 465 nt
Filed under: uncultured bacterium
Lineage: Bacteria
Description: partial 16S ribosomal RNA
Rfam family: Bacterial small subunit ribosomal RNA
Source: RNAcentral
GACGAACGCUGGCGGCGUGCUUAACACAUGCAAGUCGAACGGAAAGGCCCCUUUGGGGGUCCUCGAGUGGCGAACGGGUGAGUAACACGUGAGUAACCUACCCUUGACUUCGGGAUAACUUAAGGAAACUGGGGCUAAUACCUGAUAGGAAUCCUUGCUUGAUGGGGGGGGUUGGAAAGCUUCGGCGGUUUUGGAUGGAAUCGCGGCUUAUCAGCUUGUUGGUGGGGUAGUGGCUUACCAAGGCUUUGACGGGUAGCCGGCCUGAGCGGGCGACCGGCCACAUUGGGACUGCGAUACGGCCCAGACUCCUACGGGAGGCAGCAGUGGGGAAUAUUGCACAAUGGGCGGAAGCCUGAUGCAGCAACGCCGCGUGCGGGAUGACGGCCUUCGGGUUGUAAACCGCUUUCAGCAGGGGCGAAGCUUGUGGUGACGGUACCUGCAGAAGAAGCACCGGCUAACUACGUG